UAUUGCGUAGUGAGUGGCGUACGCCUUCUUUUGUGCGUACGCAACGUUUAUAAAUGAGGCCCCAGGUGAGCACAUGAUAAUAGUUUGAUUUGUAUGUAUUUGGUUUUGGAUUAUGUGUUGUGGACUACAAAUAUGGCGGCCAAGAGACUUCCUGCCGGUGACUUCCGGUUACUCAGGUGUGUGGCUGAUGACAGCUAAUGAUAGCACAAAAGAGGGGAAGAUGGAGCCAAGCAAAGGGGAAGGAGAAACAAACUGGCUGGGGUGACGUUUGACUGCCGCUUGAAGGAUGGAUUAGCAACGGAUGGUUCUAUGGAUUAAACAAAGCUGAGGAAUAUACCGGAACUUUCUGCCACCCUUCCUAAGGUCUUCCUUCAUCAGAAAGUCUCACGAUUUCCAUCACAGCUGAUCCGGUGUCGGACGGUCCUAAAGCUGCCAUUCCUGACGAGUCUGCAGUCAAUCCUUCAGGGAGGGUACCAGGGAGGUCUCUUUAAAGACCUUCUAGGCAGAUGCAGUUUCCAGGUCACCCUCAUCGCUGCCAUGAAAAUCCUGUUGUUGCUGUUUUUAACAUAUUUUUGCAGCAUUUUUCCCAUGGAGGACAUGAAGAAAGGAAAAUUUAGAAUGAAACUGCAUUUCUGAGGAUUUCUUUAUUUUAAUUGUUGUGGGAAGAUGAAAACAUUCCUGAAAAAGAUCAUAUUUGUGACAGAAAAUACGG
This is a non-coding RNA of Oryzias latipes (Japanese medaka), 712 nucleotides long. NCBI's taxonomy places the organism in Eukaryota, Metazoa, Chordata, Actinopteri, Beloniformes, Adrianichthyidae. The record is from RefSeq and is a predicted model, not a curated record.